ACCUCAANUCAGGUAGGACUACCCGCU
This 27-nucleotide ribosomal RNA is filed under the name Boletus smithii. RNAcentral describes it as "partial 28S ribosomal RNA". Lineage: Eukaryota; Fungi; Basidiomycota; Agaricomycetes; Boletales; Boletaceae. The record is from RNAcentral.